This 564-nucleotide ribosomal RNA is filed under the name uncultured Pezizales. Its description in RNAcentral is "eukaryotic LSU rRNA". The stretch from base 175 to 328 matches the Rfam family "5.8S ribosomal RNA". Lineage: Eukaryota; Fungi; Ascomycota; Pezizomycetes; Pezizales. The record is from RNAcentral.
UUAUAUCCCAUUGCUUACCUACCCUGUUGCUUCUACUGGACUUGUUUUACCUUCUUCAGGUAAGACCUCAGGCUUGUGUAAACUACACUUGUCAGAGAGCUGCCAGUAGUAAGACCACUUACAAAAACUUGUCUUGAAAUAUAUCGUCUGAAUUUCUUGUCUUGAAUGAAAUAAAACUUUCAACAACGGAUCUCUAGGCUCUUGCAUCGAUGAAGAACGCAGUGAAAUGCGAUAAGUAAUGUGAAUUGCAGAAUCUCGUGAAUCAUUGAAUCUUUGAACGCACAUUGCGCCCUAUGGUAUUCCAUAGGGCAUACCUGUUUGAGCGUCAACUCUCCCAUCUUCUCAAGCAUUAUUUUAUAAUGUUUGGAUUUGUUUGGAGAGGCCCCUCAUUUAUAGAGGUGCCCUUCAGAAAUGUAUAUGGCAGUAUAGUUUAUAUCUGAGCCAGGCGUAAUAAUGAAUAAAGUCGCUGAGCUUACUAUAAUUGUACUUGCCUGAACCCACCCAUUGUUAGUUUGGGUGACCUCAGAUCAGGUAGGGAUACCCGCUGAACUUAAGCAUAUCAUA